Molecule: ribosomal RNA, 289 nt
Filed under: uncultured Acidobacteriota bacterium
Lineage: Bacteria; Pseudomonadati; Acidobacteriota
Description: uncultured Acidobacteria bacterium partial 16S ribosomal RNA
Source: RNAcentral
CUACCCGGGUAUCUAAUCCUGUUUGCUACCCACGCUUUCGUGUCUCAGCGUCAGAAGUGGUCCAGUAAGCUGUCUACACCACAGGUGUUCCUCCUGAUAUCUACGCAUUUCACCGCUACACCAGGAAUUCCGCUUACCUCUCCCACCCUCUAGCACACUAGUUUCCGCCGCACCCUCCCAGUUAAGCCGGGAGAUUUCACAACAGACUUAGAGCACCGCCUACACACUCUUUACGCCCAGUAAUUCCGAACAACGCUUGCUGCCUACGUAUUACCGCGGCUGCUGGCAC